RNAcentral lists this unclassified non-coding RNA (272 nucleotides) under Mucoromycotina sp. RNAcentral's name for it is "partial contains small subunit ribosomal RNA, internal transcribed spacer 1, and 5.8S ribosomal RNA". The stretch from base 1 to 47 matches the Rfam family "Eukaryotic small subunit ribosomal RNA", at positions 1785 to 1831 of the family's 1831-position model. The record is from RNAcentral. Lineage: Eukaryota; Fungi; Mucoromycota.
AAAGUCGUAACAAGGUUUCCGUAGGUGAACCUGCGGAAGGAUCAUUCACAAUGUGUUUAUGGCACUUUCAAUCCAUUACCCACCUUGUGUGCAUUGUCGGGGAGGACUCUUCAAUCUCCUUUUCUCUCUCUCUCUCUCUCGGGAGGAGGAAAAAUGGGGGCGAAGGGAUUCUCCUUUUUACACAUACUAUUAUUGUUCUUCAGUAUCAGUCUACUUUUUAUAGAGUGUAAAAAACUCGAAUACAACUUUCAACAACGGAUCUCUUGGCUCUC